UGGAUGAUGUGGUUUAAUUCGAUUGCAACGACGAAAACCUUACCCACUUUGACAUGGCAGGAAUCCCGAAGAGAUUUGGGAGUGCUCGAAAGAGAACCUGCACACGGGUGCUGCAUGGCUGUCGUCAGCUCGUGUCGUGAGAUGUUGGGUUAAGUCCCGCAACGAGCGCAACCCUUGUCAUUAGUUGCCAUCAUUUGGUUGGGCACUCUAAUGAGACUGCCGGUGACAAACCGGAGGAAGGUGGGGAUGACGUCAAGUCCUCAUGGCCCUUAUGGGUAGGGCUUCACACGUCAUACAAUGGUCGGUACAGAGGGUUGCCAACCCGCGAGGGGGAGCUAAUCCCACAAAGCCGAUCGUAGUCCGGAUCGCAGUCUGCAACUCGACUGCGUGAAGUCGGAAUCGCUAGUAAUCGUGGAUCAGCAUGUCACGGUGAAUACGUUCCCGGGUCUU
RNAcentral lists this ribosomal RNA (450 nucleotides) under uncultured Rhodocyclaceae bacterium. Its description in RNAcentral is "bacterial SSU rRNA". It matches the Rfam family "Bacterial small subunit ribosomal RNA", at positions 933 to 1382 of the family's 1533-position model. Lineage: Bacteria; Pseudomonadati; Pseudomonadota; Betaproteobacteria; Rhodocyclales; Rhodocyclaceae. The record is from RNAcentral.